GUACUCUGGCGAGAUUCGACUACGAUAGCGAGUUUUCCAGCGAGAUUUGACGACGUUGACGAAUUCUCUGACUAGUUCUCCGGCGAGAUUUGACGAGGACUACAACCUCAAAUGGUUUUCAGAAUCUAUCACCAUCGUCGAUCAAUCCGUUCAUGAGCUAUGCAGUUUAGUAUCAGACUCGGUUCUGGAACUCUCCCGCGGUUUGCUCGAGCUCCAAUCUGCACUCGAAGGGUUUUUUAUUCUUAUCGGUUACGAACAGAAACAUGGGGAUUGGAAGUUCAAUUCGACCGAGAAUCAUCCGUUUGUGAGGAUUCUUUCAUGCAGAGUGGAGACGUAGGCAGAACUUCUUCACCAAGUAUCACUCUUUGUGAUGCGUACUCAGCGAUUGGGGAUGGUGGGAGUAUGUGAAUUUUCUGGAGCCGUUCGUGAAUUUUGUAAUAUUACGUAUCCCAUUUGCAAAUUCAUCCCCGUCUUUGUUUGUGAGGGAGUUAGUCUCAUCAAUGGCUUCCCUUGUUGCUCAUGCCGUCAUGAAGCACUGCAGGUAUUCAGAUUGCUUAUGCGGUGUCUUAAGUAAGUCCCAGGGAAGAACUCGGAAGCAAGUACUUAUGAUUGACAGUUACUAUGAUGAAUGCUUAUAGGACCAAGUACUAAGUUUCGGAGACUAUUCAGGACAAUAGAAAUUUCAGCUGCAUUGUCAAGACACUAGUGGAUGCUUUCAUUGUUGUUGCGAGAGACUUGGUUGGAACUAGAUUGUAUGUUGUGCUAAUUGCGUCAUGACUUCAUUUUGAUCUUUGUGCUCUUUUCUGACAUGUAUUCAUUUAUUUAAUGCUAGCAGGAAGUAAUAGAAAUGCAUGUGUUUGGUGUUCAACUGGGCUAGCUGUGUGAUGUUGAACAAAGGCAAGCAUAUAGUUGAAGUUGUUUCUAUGUUGGUCACUAUCCUUCAGUACCAAGCUUAUCUAUAAGAAACCAUACUCUAAGAAACUACAUUACUGAUGAUGCUUAUCACUGGAAAGAGAAUUUGUAGUUUGCUUGGUCCGUCCACGAACUGGGUGCGUCCGGUUCAGUCCUAGUUCAACAAUGU
Long non-coding RNA from Brassica oleracea var. oleracea, 1081 nucleotides. RefSeq lists it as uncharacterized. The record is from RefSeq and is a predicted model, not a curated record. The transcript is spliced from 3 exons. NCBI's taxonomy places the organism in Eukaryota, Viridiplantae, Streptophyta, Magnoliopsida, Brassicales, Brassicaceae.